Molecule: non-coding RNA, 149 nt
Filed under: Homo sapiens (human)
Lineage: Eukaryota; Metazoa; Chordata; Mammalia; Primates; Hominidae
Source: Rfam by way of RNAcentral
GCCGGGUGUGCUGGUGCACAUCUGUAAUCCCAGCUACUCAGGAGGCUGAGGCAGAAGAAUUGCUUGAACCCAGGAGUCGGAGGUUGCAGUGAGCCGAGAUCAAACCACUGCAACUCCAGCCUAGGUGACAGAGUGAGACUCUGUCUCAA